UGGUUUUGAGAAGGAACCGGCCUCA
RNAcentral lists this non-coding RNA (25 nucleotides) under Mus musculus (house mouse). The record is from RNAcentral. Lineage: Eukaryota; Metazoa; Chordata; Mammalia; Rodentia; Muridae. RNAcentral also lists the same sequence under 1 other name.